RNAcentral lists this small nuclear RNA (165 nucleotides) under Bombyx mandarina (wild silkworm). Its description in RNAcentral is "U1 spliceosomal RNA". The record is from RNAcentral. Lineage: Eukaryota; Metazoa; Arthropoda; Insecta; Lepidoptera; Bombycidae.
AUACUUGCCUAGCGUAGGGGAUACCGUGAUUAUGCAGGCGGUUCCCCCAGGGCGAGGCUGCUUCAUUGCACUACCGAGUGGUUGAUCCUUACGAUUAUUUUUAUUUUUAUCAAUAAAAAAAUCAUAAUAAUAAAUUUAUACCCGAAUAAUUAUUUUCUUUUAUAC